AGAUGAUGGAAGGCAGCUGGUGAUCAUUUUGGCCUGUAGUGCCGCGGUGUGUGUUGGACUGUUGUUGUUGUUGUGUGGAGGACUGUUGUCUCGUCGUCUGAAAAGAGCAACAGCAGUCGGAGGGAACGGUGAUUCCAGUGCAGCUGACAACAUCUACAGUAAAGUCGCAGAGACACAGAACGAUCAAGCAAACCCAGGCACAGCCACAGAGGGGAACGAGAGUGAAGAACUCAAUUACCUGGCCUUCUCCCAGACCGCUCCCCAUCUCAACCCACACAGACAACGGAGGCGGUCUCGUUCUGAACUGGAAGAAAAUGAUAAAGUGGUCUAUGCAAGCAUCAACAACGCGUGAUAUGCUGCAAUCAAAUCGAUCAACGAAACAAAAAGUCCACAUAAAAAACUGCAUCUCAUGUCUGUACAGUGUAAAUCCAUUCGGGAUGGAAGAAGCCAUCUGUAGAAGCCAGAUUUUCCAUGACUUGUUCACAUGUGAAUUUGCCACCGUUUCAUUCUUUCUUGCUAAAUGAAGCUUUUACGAAAAAGUAAUAAUAUUUGCGUUUGUGUUAAACAUUGUUACAAGCUUUUGCAUACCACUACAAGGCUAAAGAGAUUUUCGUCAUGUAAAUAUGCACUGUUGUGUAUCAUUGAAAUAAUUUAAAUAGGCAAUAUUAAAAAUGAUUCAAUAUCCCACAUACAAAAAAAAUAAUAAUAAGUAAAGCGCAAAUAGCGCAUUGGUUGGUGGAAGCCCAAUUUGUUGUAUACACAACAUGUAAGUAAACGUGCAAUUAGGUGUAAACUUGCGAUAUAGUGUAAAACAAAGUCACGGUUCAUCUUCCAGUUAAGGAAAUUAUUUUCUAAAACAAGCUAAACCAGUUAAAACCAUUACAACCAAUUUUAAACCAAUGAGCUUUAAUUAUUGCAGUUAUACAAUGUUUUGGUGUCGGUCUGCAUAAACACAGGCAGUGUGAGUCAACAUGUCAAUGAGCCUUUUUCAAUGAUAGGAAGGGAUUUACAAUGGUCUUGUAACAAUGAUUUAACACAAAAAUCUUACCGAUUGUACCUUUAACUUGCUUUGUUUCCUCAAAUUGGCGAAUAACUCAUAUCCAGUGAUGGCAAUGUCGAAAUAAAGGCGUACUUGUUUGUGUUGACAA
This is a long non-coding RNA of Conger conger (European conger), 1148 nucleotides long. RefSeq lists it as uncharacterized. The transcript is spliced from 5 exons. NCBI's taxonomy places the organism in Eukaryota, Metazoa, Chordata, Actinopteri, Anguilliformes, Congridae. The record is from RefSeq and is a predicted model, not a curated record.